This is a non-coding RNA of Mycena filopes, 92 nucleotides long. Lineage: Eukaryota; Fungi; Basidiomycota; Agaricomycetes; Agaricales; Mycenaceae. The record is from the annotation of a GenBank genome assembly.
GGCUUGGAAGUGGAUGGUCCAUGCCUGUAUUCUGUUCCAACUCUGUUGCCACUUCCAAGCAGGGGGUGCCUGUUCGAAUCAGGCCCGAGCCA